Molecule: transfer-messenger RNA, 382 nt
Filed under: Coriobacteriales
Lineage: Bacteria; Bacillati; Actinomycetota; Coriobacteriia
Also listed under: 1 other name
Description: CACZQA01 sp902783175 Standard tmRNA
Rfam family: transfer-messenger RNA
About the family: Bacterial tmRNA, also known as 10Sa RNA or SsrA, is named for its dual tRNA and mRNA-like properties.
Source: RNAcentral
GGGGGUGACUGGUUUCGACAUGAUAGUUCUGACAGGGGCAGCAGGUCGUGGUCUCCUCGCCACGUUAAACAGGGGUACAGCCAAUUAACUGGCAAAGUUGUUUCUUUCAAGGGUGCACAGCGCAACGCUGUCGCCCUGGCUGCCUAAUUUAGGUUCAGCCCUCCCAACCGCAUGUUCGAUCCCCGGCAUGCGCACGGGAUCAUUAUCAGGGGAUUGCACUCGUGGACGUAGUCGGUAUGCCGCGAGCCAAGCUUGAACCGGCGGAAGGUCGCCACGCUUGUCGGUGUGCCGCGUGGCCUUCCUACUCGAACAGCGACUAAGCCUGUAGACACCUCUCGAUUUUCUACCGUGGACCGGAGUUCGAUUCUCCGCACCUCCACCA